RNAcentral lists this ribosomal RNA (837 nucleotides) under uncultured eukaryote. RNAcentral's name for it is "bacterial SSU rRNA". It matches the Rfam family "Eukaryotic small subunit ribosomal RNA", at positions 1030 to 1828 of the family's 1831-position model. The record is from RNAcentral.
CCGUAAACGAUGCCAACUAGCGAUCCGCCGGCGUUAAAAUUUGACUCGGCGGGCAGCUUCCGGGAAACCAAAGUUUUGGUUCCGGGGGAAGUAUGGUUGCAAAGCUUAAACUUAAAGGAAUUGACGGAAGGGCACCACCAGGAGUGGAGCCUGCGGCUUAAUUUGACUCAACACGGGAAAACUUACCCGGCCCGGACACUGGAAGGAUUGACAGAUUGAGAGCUCUUUCUUGAUUCAGUGGGUGGUGGUGCAUGGCCGUUCUUAGUUGGUGGAGCGAUUUGUCUGGUUAAUUCCGAUAACGAACGAGACUCUAGCCUACUAAAUAGACUGUUCAGCUUUAUAGCCGGAAUCACCGGGCACGUAGCUCUCACGGGUUGCGUGUUCGGCUCUGGUGACGUUGACAGUGCUUCUUAGAGGGACAGGCGGCGGUUCAGCCGCACGAAACAGAGCAAUAACAGGUCUGUGAUGCCCUUAGAUGUCCGGGGCUGCACGCGCGCUACACUGAAGUGAUCAGCGUGCAAUUUACGUUUGGUGAUCUGUCAAGAUUGCCCAACCCGUUGAACCUUCUUCGUGAUUGGGAUAGGGGAUUGUAAUUAUUCCCCUUGAACGAGGAAUUCCCAGUAAGCGCAAGUCAUAAGCUUGCGUUGAUUACGUCCCUGCCCUUUGUACACACCGCCCGUCGCUACUACUGAUUGAAUGAAUUAGUGAGGUCUUCGGACUGGCCUGUGCUGGCUGUUUCGGCAGCUGCACAUGGCUCGGGAAGAUGCCCAAACUUGUUCAUUUAGAAGAAGUAAAAGUCGUAACAAGGUUUUCGUAGGUGAACCUGCGGAAGGAUCA